This is a non-coding RNA of Rhynchosporium agropyri, 92 nucleotides long. The record is from the annotation of a GenBank genome assembly. Lineage: Eukaryota; Fungi; Ascomycota; Leotiomycetes; Helotiales; Ploettnerulaceae.
UCUUCUGUGGCGCAAUUGGCUAGCGCGUAUGUGGUUUAAAUUCAUCAGAUCUUGCAAUCGAGAGGUUGGAGGUUCGAGCCCUCCCAGAAGAG